CACCUUUUGGAUGUGAUUGACAAUUUAAUUCAAAGAAGAGUACAAAGUGUGUUUAAGGAAUCUUUUGACCAAAAAAUACAAGAUUUAUCCAAACAAAUCAACCUAAUCCAGUGCAAAGAAGAUAAUACUGACGUACUUACCAGGCACCUUAAAAACAUAAGGAGACUUGGAGGGCAUUUAAAAUAUGUAUUGAAAGUUCAAAAUGAGGCCGGCACACAAUCCAGCAAAGUGCCAUCUGUUGGUUCUACUUGUAA
Long non-coding RNA from Nanorana parkeri, 254 nucleotides. RefSeq lists it as uncharacterized. The record is from RefSeq and is a predicted model, not a curated record. Lineage: Eukaryota; Metazoa; Chordata; Amphibia; Anura; Dicroglossidae. The transcript has 3 exons.